This 181-nucleotide non-coding RNA is filed under the name Desulfuromonadales bacterium. Its description in RNAcentral is "6S RNA". It matches the Rfam family "6S / SsrS RNA". Rfam says of the family: E. coli 6S RNA was the first non coding RNA to be sequenced, but its function was unknown until recently. It consists of 184 nucleotides that fold into an extended hairpin structure with a large single-stranded internal bulge. The record is from RNAcentral. Lineage: Bacteria; Pseudomonadati; Thermodesulfobacteriota; Desulfuromonadia; Desulfuromonadales.
CAACCUCUGGAAUGUACGAAAUGUCCCUGACUGUGCUGGCCAACUGAACGAUUUUUUGCCCGAAGUCGGGUCGCUGUGAGCAAGCCCGCCCACGAGCGGGAAGCCUAAAGCACCCAACCUGGGUAUCAUUCGACUCUAAAAGGCUCUCUCAAAGGAAUAAAAACGGCAUUCUGGAGGUUUU